CAGUAACCGCGGGAAUACGUAGGGUGCAAGCGUUAAUCGGAAUUACUGGGCGUAAAGCGUGCGCAGGCGGUUAUAUAAGACAGAUGUGAAAUCCCCGGGCUCAACCUGGGAACUGCAUUUGUGACUGUAUAGCUAGAGUACGGCAGAGGGGGAUGGAAUUCCGCGUGUAGCAGUGAAAUGCGUAGAUAUGCGGAGGAACACCGAUGGCGAAGGCAAUCCCCUGGGCCUGUACUGACGCUCAUGCACGAAAGCGUGGGGAGCAAACAGGAUUAGAUACCCGUGUAGUCCCUGUCUCUUAUAC
RNAcentral lists this ribosomal RNA (301 nucleotides) under uncultured bacterium. RNAcentral describes it as "partial 16S ribosomal RNA". It matches the Rfam family "Bacterial small subunit ribosomal RNA", at positions 509 to 807 of the family's 1533-position model. The record is from RNAcentral.